GCCGACGUGGCAGAAUCCGGUAUCGCGCCAGACUUGAGAUCUGGUGCCCUUCGGGGCUUAGGAGUUCAAAUCUCCUCGUCGGCG
RNAcentral lists this transfer RNA (84 nucleotides) under Microcaldota archaeon. RNAcentral's name for it is "tRNA-Ser". It matches the Rfam family "tRNA". From Rfam's summary of the family: Transfer RNA (tRNA) molecules are approximately 80 nucleotides in length. Their secondary structure includes four short double-helical elements and three loops (D, anti-codon, and T loops). Further hydrogen bonds mediate the characteristic L-shaped molecular structure. tRNAs have two regions of fundamental functional importance: the anti-codon, which is responsible for specific mRNA codon recognition, and the 3' end, to which the tRNAs corresponding amino acid is attached (by aminoacyl-tRNA synthetases). tRNAs cope with the degeneracy of the genetic code in two manners: having more than one tRNA (with a specific anti-codon) for a particular amino acid; and 'wobble' base-pairing, i.e. permitting non-standard base-pairing at the 3rd anti-codon position. Lineage: Archaea; Nanobdellati; Microcaldota. The record is from RNAcentral.